AUUGAACGCUGGCGGCAGGCCUAACACAUGCAAGUCGAACGGUAACAGGAAGCAGCUUGCUGCUUUGCUGACGAGUGGCGGACGGGUGAGUAAUGUCUGGGAAACUGCCUGAUGGAGGGGGAUAACUACUGGAAACGGUAGCUAAUACCGCAUAACGUCGCCAGACCAAAGAGGGGGACCUUAGGGCCUCUUGCCAUCGGAUGUGCCCAGAUGGGAUUAGCUAGUAGGUGGGGUAACGGCUCACCUAGGCGACGAUCCCUAGCUGGUCUGAGAGGAUGACCAGCCACACGGGAACUGAGACACGGUCCAGGCUCCUACGGGAGGCAGCAGUGGGGAAUAUUGCACAAUGGGCGCGAGCCUGAUGCAGCCAUGCCGCGUGUAUGAAGAAGGCCUUCGGUUUGUAAAGUACUUUCAGCGGGGAGGAAGGGAGUAAAGUUAAUACCUUUGCUCAUUGACGUUACCCGCAGAAGAAGCACCGGCUAACUCCGUG
RNAcentral lists this ribosomal RNA (490 nucleotides) under uncultured bacterium. RNAcentral's name for it is "partial 16S ribosomal RNA". It matches the Rfam family "Bacterial small subunit ribosomal RNA", at positions 30 to 507 of the family's 1533-position model. The record is from RNAcentral.